GCUUACGGCCACACCUCCCUCAGCACGCCCAAACUCAUCUGAUCUUGGUAGUUAAGCAGGGUCGGGCUUGGUUAGUACUUGGAUGGGAUACCGCCUGGGAAUUCCAGGUGCUGUAAGCC
Molecule: ribosomal RNA, 119 nt
Organism: Esox lucius (northern pike)
Lineage: Eukaryota; Metazoa; Chordata; Actinopteri; Esociformes; Esocidae
Source: Ensembl